GAUGAACGCUAGCUACAGGCUUAACACAUGCAAGUCGAGGGGCAGCAUGAAAAUGGAGGCGCAGCUCUGCUCUCCUCGUCCGGCGACCGGCGCACGGGUGAGUAACACGUAUCCAACCUGCCGAUGACUCGGGGAUAGCCUUUCGAAAGAAAGAUUAAUACCCGAUGGCAUAGUUCUUCCGCAUGGUAGAACUAUUAAAGAAUUUCGGUCAUCGAUGGGGAUGCGUUCCAUUAGGUUGUUGGCGGGGUAACGGCCCACCAAGCCUUCGAUGGAUAGGGGUUCUGAGAGGAAGGUCCCCCACAUUGGAACUGAGACACGGUCCAAACUCCUACGGGAGGCAGCAGUGAGGAAUAUUGGUCAAUGGACGAGAGUCUGAACCAGCCAAGUAGCGUGAAGGAUGACUGCCCUAUGGGUUGUAAACUUCUUUUAUACGGGAAUAAAGUGAGGCACGUGUGCCUUUUUGUAUGUACCGUAUGAAUAAGGAUCGGCUAACUCCGUGCCAGCAGCCGCGGUAAUACGGAGGAUCCGAGCGUUAUCCGGAUUUAUUGGGUUUAAAGGGAGCGUAGGCGGACGCUUAAGUCAGUUGUGAAAGUUUGCGGCUCAACCGUAAAAUUGCAGUUGAUACUGGGUGUCUUGAGUACAGUAGAGGCAGGCGGAAUUCGUGGUGUAGCGGUGAAAUGCUUAGAUAUCACGAAGAACUCCGAUUGCGAAGGCAGCUUGCUGGACUGUAACUGACGCUGAUGCUCGAAAGUGUGGGUAUCAAACAGGAUUAGAUACCCUGGUAGUCCACACAGUAAACGAUGAAUACUCGCUGUUUGCGAUAUACAGUAAGCGGCCAAGCGAAAGCGUUAAGUAUUCCACCUGGGGAGUACGCCGGCAACGGUGAAACUCAAAGGAAUUGACGGGGGCCCGCACAAGCGGAGGAACAUGUGGUUUAAUUCGAUGAUACGCGAGGAACCUUACCCGGGCUUGAAUUGCAACUGAAUGAUGUGGAGACAUGUCAGCCGCAAGGCAGUUGUGAAGGUGCUGCAUGGUUGUCGUCAGCUCGUGCCGUGAGGUGUCGGCUUAAGUGCCAUAACGAGCGCAACCCUUAUCGAUAGUUACCAUCAGGUUAUGCUGGGGACUCUGUCGAGACUGCCGUCGUAAGAUGUGAGGAAGGUGGGGAUGACGUCAAAUCAGCACGGCCCUUACGUCCGGGGCUACACACGUGUUACAAUGGGGGGUACAGAAGGCAGCUACACGGCGACGUGAUGCUAAUCCCUAAAGCCUCUCUCAGUUCGGAUUGGAGUCUGCAACCCGACUCCAUGAAGCUGGAUUCGCUAGUAAUCGCGCAUCAGCCACGGCGCGGUGAAUACGUUCCCGGGCCU
This 1367-nucleotide ribosomal RNA is filed under the name uncultured bacterium. Its description in RNAcentral is "bacterial SSU rRNA". It matches the Rfam family "Bacterial small subunit ribosomal RNA", at positions 28 to 1381 of the family's 1533-position model. The record is from RNAcentral.